Molecule: ribosomal RNA, 491 nt
Filed under: uncultured bacterium
Lineage: Bacteria
Description: partial 16S ribosomal RNA
Rfam family: Bacterial small subunit ribosomal RNA
Source: RNAcentral
UUGAACGCUGGCGGCAUGCUUUACACAUGCCAGUCGAACGGUAACAGGCCUUCGGGUGCUGACGAGUGGCGAACGGGUGAGUAAUGCAUCGGAACGUACCCAGAGGUGGGGGAUAACGCAGCGAAAGCUGUGCUAAUACUGCAUGUGAUCUGAGGAUGAAAGCGGGGGACCGAGCAGCAAUGUUUGGCCUCGCGCCUUUGGAGCGGCCGAUGUCGGAUUAGCUAGUUGGUGGGGUAAAGGCCUACCAAGGCGACGAUCCGUAGCUGGUCUGAGAGGACGACCAGCCACACUGGGACUGAGACACGGCCCAGACUCCUACGGGAGGCAGCAGUGGGGAAUUUUGGACAAUGGGCGCAAGCCUGAUCCAGUAAUGCCGCGUGCGGGAAGAAGGCCUUCGGGUUGUAAACCGCUUUUGGCAGGAACGAAACGGUGUCCGCUAAUACCGGGCGCUAAUGACGGUACCUGCAGAAUAAGCACCGGCUAACUACGUG